This 690-nucleotide ribosomal RNA is filed under the name uncultured bacterium. RNAcentral's name for it is "bacterial SSU rRNA". It matches the Rfam family "Bacterial small subunit ribosomal RNA", at positions 64 to 795 of the family's 1533-position model. The record is from RNAcentral.
GAACGGAAUCCUUCGGGAUUUAGUGGCGGACGGGUGAGUAACACGUGAGAAUCUGCACUCAGGAUGGGGACAACAGCGGGAAACUGCUGCUAAUACCCAAUGUGCCGAAUUGGUGAAAGAUUUAUCGCCUGAGAAUGAGCUCGCGGCCGAUUAGUUAGUUGGUGGGGUAAAGGCCUACCAAGACGGCGAUCGGUAGCUGGUCUGAGAGGAUGAGCAGCCACACUGGGACUGAGACACGGCCCAGACUCCUACGGGAGGCAGCAGUGGGGAAUUUUCCGCAAUGGGCGCAAGCCUGACGGAGCAAGACCGCGUGGGGGAGGAAGGUUCUUGGGUUGUAAACCCCUUUUCUCAGGGAAGAACACAAUGACGGUACCUGAGGAAUCAGCCUCGGCUAACUCCGUGCCAGCAGCCGCGGUAAUACGGAGGGUGCGAGCGUUAUCCGGAAUUAUUGGGCGUAAAGCGUCCGCAGGUGGUGGGGCAAGUCGGCGGUUAAAGACUGGGGCUUAACUCCAGAAAGGCCGUGGAAACUGCACCACUAGAGGGCAGUAGGGGUAGAGGGAAUUCCCGGUGUAGAGGUGAAAUUCGUAGAUAUCGGGAGGAAUACCUGUGGCGAAGGCGGCUAACUGGCCCUGUCCUGACACUGAGGUACGAAAGCGUGGGGAGCGAACCGGAUUAGAUACCCUGGUAGUC